CGAAAGACCGUGAAAAAGAGGAGUAUGUAUCGGAUAAUUGGCAGAGAGAAAGGGUCAUCGGCUGCAAGCCCUUUACAAGAUAGGAUACAGAAGGUAGCUUUUGAGUUGUUUUGCCGAAGGGUUUUCCUGCGUAGGUAAAAACGGGUGACUCCGUUAUUGGUUAUUGAGUGUCUGUCCUUUUUGGGCAGAAAUAAAGGUGGUACCGCGAGUUUUCGUCCUUUUU
This 223-nucleotide non-coding RNA is filed under the name Anaerotignum neopropionicum. RNAcentral describes it as "Clostridium neopropionicum T-box sequence". It matches the Rfam family "T-box leader". From Rfam's summary of the family: Uncharged tRNA acts as the effector for transcription antitermination of genes in the T-box leader family. T-boxes are found upstream of many aminoacyl-tRNA synthetase genes and some amino acid biosynthetic genes usually in Gram-positive bacteria. The anticodon of a specific tRNA base pairs to a specifier sequence within the T-box motif, and the NCCA acceptor tail of the tRNA base pairs to a conserved bulge in the T-box antiterminator hairpin. Lineage: Bacteria; Bacillati; Bacillota; Clostridia; Lachnospirales; Anaerotignaceae. The record is from RNAcentral.